This 353-nucleotide ribosomal RNA is filed under the name uncultured soil bacterium. RNAcentral describes it as "bacterial SSU rRNA". It matches the Rfam family "Bacterial small subunit ribosomal RNA", at positions 26 to 396 of the family's 1533-position model. The record is from RNAcentral.
AGAACGAACGCUGGCGGCAUGCCUAAUACAUGCAAGUCGAACGAACACUUCGGUGUUAGUGGCGCACGGGUGCGUAACGCGUGGGAAUCUGCCCUUGGGUUCGGAAUAACAGUUGGAAACGACUGCUAAUACCGGAUGAUGACGAAAGUCCAAAGAUUUAUCGCCCAGGGAUGAGCCCGCGUAGGAUUAGCUAGUUGGUGAGGUAAGGCUCACCGAGGCAACGAUCCUUAGCUGGUCUGAGAGGAUGAUCAGCCACACUGGGACUGACGACACGGCCAAGACUCCGUACGGGAGCAGCGAGGUAGGGAAUAGUUAGGAACAAGUGGGACGAAAGCCUAGACGUACCAGCAAGU